CAAUAGCGUAUAUUUAAGUUGCUGCAGUUAAAAAGCUCGUAGUUGGAUUUCGGGUGGGAAUGGCCGGUCCGCCGUUUCGGUGUGCACUUGCUACGCCCACCUUGCUGCCGGGGACGUGCUCUUGAGUUCACGCUCGGGACACGGAGUCGGCGAGGUUACUUUGAGUAAAUUAGAGUGUUCAAAGCAGGCCUACGCUCUGAAUACAUUAGCAUGGAAUAACACGAUAGGACUCUGGCCUAUCUUGUUGGUCUGUAGGACCGGAGUAAUGAUUAAGAGGGACAGUCGGGGGCAUUCGUAUUUCAUUGUCAGAGGUGAAAUUCUUGGAUUUAUGAAAGACGAACUACUGCGAAAGCAUUUGCCAAGGAUGUUUACAUUAA
RNAcentral lists this ribosomal RNA (377 nucleotides) under uncultured eukaryote. RNAcentral's name for it is "partial 18S ribosomal RNA". It matches the Rfam family "Eukaryotic small subunit ribosomal RNA", at positions 592 to 976 of the family's 1831-position model. The record is from RNAcentral.